This 517-nucleotide ribosomal RNA is filed under the name uncultured bacterium. RNAcentral's name for it is "bacterial SSU rRNA". It matches the Rfam family "Bacterial small subunit ribosomal RNA", at positions 8 to 526 of the family's 1533-position model. The record is from RNAcentral.
AGAGUUUGAUCCUGGCUCAGGAUGAACGCUGGCGGCGUGCUUAACACAUGCAAGUCGAACGGGAAAUAUUUCAUUGAGACUUCGGUGGAUUUGAUCUAUUUCUAGUGGCGGACGGGUGAGUAACGCGUGGGUAACCUGCCUUAUACAGGGGGAUAACAGUCAGAAAUGGCUGCUAAUACCGCAUAAGCGCACAGAGCUGCAUGGCUCAGUGUGAAAAACUCCGGUGGUAUAAGAUGGACCCGCGUUGGAUUAGCUGGUUGGUGGGGUAACGGCCCACCAAGGCGACGAUCCAUAGCCGGCCUGAGAGGGUGAACGGCCACAUUGGGACUGAGACACGGCCCAGACUCCUACGGGAGGCAGCAGUGGGGAAUAUUGCACAAUGGGGGAAACCCUGAUGCAGCGACGCCGCGUGAAGGAAGAAGUAUCUCGGUAUGUAAACUUCUAUCAGCAGGGAAGAUAGUGACGGUACCUGACUAAGAAGCCCCGGCUAACUACGUGCCAGCCGCCGCGGUAAUAC